CCCCGGUAAACGGCGGCCGUAACUAUAACGGUCCUAAGGUAGCGAAAUUCCUUGUCGGGUAAGUUCCGACCUGCACGAAUGGCGUAAUGAUGGCCAGGCUGUCUCCACCCGAGACUCAGUGAAAUUGAACUCGCUGUGAAGAUGCAGUGUACCCGCGGCAAGACGGAAAGACCCCGUGAACCUUUACUAUAGCUUGACACUGAACAUUGAGCCUUGAUGUGUAGGAUAGGUGGGAGGCUUUGAAGUGUGGACGCCAGUCUGCAUGGAGCCGACCUUGAAAUACCACCCUUUAAUGUUUGAUGUUCUAACGUGGACCCGUAAUCCGGGUUGCGGACAGUGUCUGGUGGGUAGUUUGACUGGGGCGGUCUCCUCCUAAAGAGUAACGGAGGAGCACGAAGGUUGGCUAAUCCUGGUCGGACAUCAGGAGGUUAGUGCAAUGGCAUAAGCCAGCUUGACUGCGAGCGUGACGGCGCGAGCAGGUGCGAAAGCAGGUCAUAGUGAUCCGGUGGUUCUGAAUGGAAGGGCCAUCGCUCAACGGAUAAAAGGUACUCCGGGGAUAACAGGCUGAUACCGCCCAAGAGUUCAUAUCGACGGCGGUGUUUGGCACCUCGAUGUCGGCUCAUCACAUCCUGGGGCUGAAGUAGGUCCCAAGGGUAUGGCUGUUCGCCAUUUAAAGUGGUACGCGAGCUGGGUUUAGAACGUCGUGAGACAGUUCGGUCCCUAUCUGCCGUGGGCGCUGGAGAACUGAGGGGGGCUGCUCCUAGUACGAGAGGACCGGAGUGGACGCAUCACUGGUGUUCGGGUUGUCAUGCCAAUGGCACUGCCCGGUAGCUAAAUGCGGAAGAGAUAAGUGCUGAAAGCAUCUAAGCACGAAACUUGCCCCGAGAUGAGUUCUCCCUGAGACUUAGAGUCUC
Molecule: ribosomal RNA, 914 nt
Filed under: Salmonella enterica
Lineage: Bacteria; Pseudomonadati; Pseudomonadota; Gammaproteobacteria; Enterobacterales; Enterobacteriaceae
Also listed under: 5 other names
Description: partial 23S ribosomal RNA
Rfam family: Bacterial large subunit ribosomal RNA
Source: RNAcentral